CCUGAGAGCAACAUAAAUGAGGACCCUGGCCUCGAAGUAAGCUAGGUAUUUCUGGAAACCACAUAAGUCCUUUAAUUUAGUGAAAUGUAUUUGCAUUAUGAGUAUAACACUACUGUCUUCCCAACACACUCUUGCCAAGGUUCUUGUGGCACAUUGCUAGAAGAUAUCACAAUCCUUUUCUGAGAGUUUCAGUGACCUGUGGGGGACACAAACAGACUGAAAGAAAAAUUGGUAAUUAUCUAAUUCGUGUGCUUUUAGUGAUAAAAGCGAGGAUUUAAAAAAAUUACAUGGAGAAUGAGCCUCAGAACAAAAGGCAUGGCUUGACAAGCAGCGGCAUGUCCACACCCGGGAUCUGAACCGGCGAACCCAGGCUGCCAAGAAGUGGAACGUGUGCACUUAACUGCUGUGACACCAGGCCGGCCCCUAAAGACCAAAUUCUUAUCCAUGAUACUGAAUUCUUAUGCAAGUUUUCUGAAGAGAAAAAUCAUCAAAAAGCGUGGAAGGACACCGUGACUCGUUUUCCUCAGUUACUCACGCCAAGCAGGGACCCUCUUGGUCUGGCUGCCACACCCGCAGUAGAUGUAAGCCUUGAAGGGAGGGGGCAGGCUGUGUAGGGCAGACCUUUUAAUUUUGAAGCUAUUAAGUACCUGCAAAUGUCUUUCACACGGAAAGAAAAACUCUAACGAAUGACUUGCUUAAUUUAUUGGUAUCACUCACCCCACAGGUAUUCACGUGGCGUUAGAAGGCUGUUCUUGGCUGUUACACACACUGCCUGGGGCUUUAGAUGAGAAGCUUGACUUUGGAAAUUCAGUCGCACAAUAGGAUACAUGGAAAGCGUGCCUCUCCUGUAUCUACUAUAAUUCUCUGCUUAUUGCUCCUGGAGAGACACACAGGUUGCACUGUUCCUGUCACAUCUGUCUUAAAAGAAUGGUUGGCAGACGUAAGUGGUAAAAUAGUCAAGAUGGAUUCGGAUGAAGCAAACUGCAGAGCCAUAUUUUGUUUGAUGGAAACAGAAGGAAGUUGGUUCCCUUCUCCUUACAUUGAGGCUUCAUCUAAGUGCUCUAACAUCCUUGUUUUCACCUUCUUUCCCCAGCUGCUGUGAGGGUUGGGUUCCUACCGAGAGGAGCAUAACAAAAGGAGAAGGAGUCUUGUUUUUCCAGGAGAACGAGGAAAGGGAAAUAAGACGGUGAGUCAGCGGGCCAGCAGGCGUCCGCUGCACGUGGAACACAGCACUGCUCACUUCCCCCUCCACCUGGUGUUCUGGCUGCCCCUGGAUUAGCUCCUAUUGCUGCUUACACGGCAACAGGCUCGAGAGAGAGCUUCCAGGUUCACCACCCUCACCCCCAACCUCCUGAGAAAUGUCAGAAACUGCAUGAGGGACAUAGGGACCAGAAGCAUGGAGCUCCCCCUGCCUAGGGCCCCAUAAUGAUGCAGCAGAAAAGAGGAUAGGGGCCUUUGAGUUAGGGAGGGAAGAAGCGUUACCUAAUAGUGAUGCAUUAAAAUAACAGAGUUAAGGGUAGAUUCCUGCUGCCAAUACAGAAUUAAACUGGUCGGGGUUAAACAGGAUAGAGGGAAAUGGAGGAAACUAGCCAAGAGACAAGAGGAAUUAUCCAUAGUUACUCAGUGUAAUUGCAUUUAUACAGUUGGGGGGCCUGCCACUGAGCCAUGGGGGAUACCUCCACUCAGCCUUUCUCAGCUGAACACAGAAAAUGAUUUGGGUGACUAUUUUCUCAGUUUUCUUAAGGAUGAUACAGAACAUUCUAGAUGCAUAAGAGAGAAGUUAAUUUCUGACGUACUAUAGAUGGCUUAGGGCGUUAGAACUCAAUUCCCUCUGGUUAAGAGAGUCCCCAUUGUUCUUGGCACCACAUAUGUCAAAGAUGGGGAUAGUACUAUGGACAGCCCACCCUGGGGAAUGCCUGUUUGGUCAAGGAGUAGGGUAUGUUUUCCUUAUUCCCUUGACCCAGGGCAGGUUUUGGAGUUCAUAUAACUGAGAAUUGCCUUUCAUUCAUUCACUCAACAAAUAACUAUUAGUCUCUUGCUCUUUUCUAGUUACUAUGGCAAGAACAAAGAAUAUAAUGGUGAACAAGAAACAGAUAAAAACAAAUAAGUGAUGACCCAUGCUAUGUUGGAGAAAACCUCCAAGGGGCCAGGACAGAAAGAAAGAUGAGGGAUUUGGGAGCAUGGAUGGUGGGUGUGUUCGGGGGUAGGCAUACCUUGAAGAAGGAGGUUACUAAGCACGCACAAAUUGAUGCUGGCCCUCAUAUCAGUUCCCCUACAUUAAACCCAGCAUACAUGGGGUGAAAACCAAAGCAUUCAUUCCCUGCUUACUCCUUGGCUUCCUGGCUCCAGAAUGCACUAUCCGCCACGGAGGCAAACAGCCAAGGUGACCCACCUGCAAAUUCUCUUAUCAUCCUCCUCUCUAUAAACAACCUCCCAAGGCUGAAUGCAGGCUGGUGGGAAAGUUCCGACCAGCAAGGCCCCUGAUUCUCCCCGACUCCUCUACAAGCAGCCACAUUCCUCAGAAACCUUUAAAACCCCUGGCCUCCCAUCUUUUGGGGAGCCAGACGAAACAAAACUAAUUUGAGGGCUCACUCUCAUCUCUCAGCUGAUAACAUCCUAAAUAAAAACCCUUUCUUUGC
Molecule: long non-coding RNA, 2639 nt
Organism: Equus caballus (horse)
Lineage: Eukaryota; Metazoa; Chordata; Mammalia; Perissodactyla; Equidae
Source: Ensembl